RNAcentral lists this microRNA (23 nucleotides) under Mus musculus (house mouse). RNAcentral describes it as "piRNA piR-mmu-49539455". Lineage: Eukaryota; Metazoa; Chordata; Mammalia; Rodentia; Muridae. RNAcentral also lists the same sequence under 1 other name. The record is from RNAcentral.
CUAGCACCAUUUGAAAUCGGUUA